GGUUCUAUCUGACCUACAGUCCAAGAAUUCUGGACAGAAGUCGGUGCUAGAGCCAGCUCAGGAGCUCAGCGACACUGAGUGUCACCACUGUCUGGAUGGUUCUCUGGAGCUUUCACUUUCGUUUGUGACCUUGUAACUGCAACAUGACUGCACCCCACCUGCAGCCCACGUGCUGCAGCCCUGUGUCCAAUCCAGGAAGAAGAGGAGAGGACUGCCGGGUCUGGCCUUUUUAUGAGAAAAGCAAAGAUUUCCCAGAAACCUACCCACAGACUUCCGUAUCCGUUUCAUUUGCCCAAUGUGUCACACGGCCACCUCUGGAUGCAGUGGAAGCCAGAAGGGCAGGUAGUCGUCGGAUCCAGCUCCCCCUGCUGAUGAGCUUCCGAGGAGAAGGCAGACAAGGGAGGAAGCUGCCAGGCCUGCAGACGGGCACGCAUACAAGACAGCAAUGUGCAAAUCCACCAAAGUGGACCCGCCAUUUUCCCCAAGAUCUCCAACUCAGCCAAAUCCAGCUGAGAUGUUAAACAGAGAGUCCACUGGUGACAGGAAGCCCAGCCAGCUUCAAGCCAACGCGUCUGGUCUAAUGAAAAGGGCUUUGGCUGGUGGCCCUAAAGGCAACAAGUACAAUCCUCUGAGAUGGCUGAGGCAACUCCUUCAUCCCCUUUCUCUGCAGCCCUGGCAGCUGCACUUGCUCCAGCGCAAAGAAAUGCUGAAGCAGCAGGACAGCUAGGACCGAGUCCACCAUUCACAGAGGACAGGAAGGAAAGGGCUGUGCAUUCCUUCUCAGCUUCUCCUCAGGGAGAGAGGCAAAAAGCCAGCAGCUGUGGCUUCUCACCCAUUUCCAUAACCAUCAAAGAUGUGUGCAGCCCCUCUGAGCCAGGUGCUGGGCAAGGUGCUGUGGGACAUGCAAAGAUGAAAAUCCAGGCUCUGCCCUUUGUGAGCUUGUAGCCCAGAAAAGGGACAAGGUCAGCACAGAAGGCCCAAACAGACAGGAAAAGGGGUCAGACACAGCCUCAUGGGGGAGCAAUCAAUGCAAGAGCCCCCCGAAACCAGCAACUACCUACUGCUGGUUGGACUGGACUGUGCUGUGGGAAGGAACACAUACAUCCUCUCCCACCUCGGGAAUUCAGUCACGUGGGGGGAACAAAGGAAGAACAGCAAACACACACCUCCAGGCCAAUGCUGUGUACACAGUCACAGCAGAGCGCAGUGAGCAGAGAGAGCACGGUGGCGCGCACUUGAGCUGAGUCUGCAAAGCUCAGCAAGGAUUUCAGCAGAGCGGGGAGGAGAGGAAAUCAGUGUUCCAGCCAGAGGGAGCAGUGCACGCCAAGACAGAUGCAGUGAUGUUCAGGCAUGUCCAGGAAGCCCUCCUUUCCUGACCGCCCAGAUGAUGUUACAUCCUCUGUUACAUGCUCCCAUGGCACCCUGCCUCCUCCCAAGGGAAGACUGUCACAGAACGAACCACAGUAAGGGUGAGAAAUCAG
This 1481-nucleotide long non-coding RNA is filed under the name Equus caballus (horse). RNAcentral's name for it is "lncRNA (ENSECAG00000052776.1)". Lineage: Eukaryota; Metazoa; Chordata; Mammalia; Perissodactyla; Equidae. The record is from RNAcentral.